GACGAACGCUGGCGGCGUGCUUAACACAUGCAAGUCGAACGGAAAGGCCCAGCUUGCUGGGUACUCGAGUGGCGAACGGGUGAGUAACACGUGGGUGAUCUGCCUUGCACUCUGGGAUAAGCCUGGGAAACUGGGUCUAAUACUGGAUAUGACCACGAACUGCAUGGUUUGUGGUGGAAAGCUUUUGCGGUGUGAGAUGGGCCCGCGGCCUAUCAGCUUGUUGGUGGGGUAAUGGCCCACCAAGGCGACGACGGGUAGCCGACCUGAGAGGGUGAUCGGCCACACUGGGACUGAGACACGGCCCAGACUCCUACGGGAGGCAGCAGUGGGGAAUAUUGCACAAUGGGCGCAAGCCUGAUGCAGCGACGCCGCGUGAGGGAUGACGGCCUUCGGGUUGUAAACCUCUUUCGGCAGGGACGAAGCGCAAGUGACGGUACCUGCAGAAGAAGCACCGGCCAACUAC
Molecule: ribosomal RNA, 463 nt
Filed under: uncultured Actinomycetes bacterium
Lineage: Bacteria; Bacillati; Actinomycetota; Actinomycetes
Description: bacterial SSU rRNA
Rfam family: Bacterial small subunit ribosomal RNA
Source: RNAcentral